AGAGUUUGAUUCUGGCUCAGGACGAACGCUGGCGGCGCGCCUAACACAUGCAAGUCGAGCGAGAGCCCGAGGAGGGGUAACCCUUCUCGGGGGAGAGCGGCGAACGGGUGAGUACCACGUGGGCAACCUGCCCCAGACUCUGGGAUAACCCCGGGAAACCGGAGCUAAUACCGGAUACUCUCGGCGGACCGCAUGAUCUGCCGAGGAAAGCUUUCGCGGUCUGGGAUGGGCCCGCGGCCUAUCAGCUUGUUGGCGGGGUAACGGCCCACCAAGGCGACGACGGGUAGCUGGUCUGAGAGGACGGUCAGCCACACUGGGACUGAGACACGGCCCAGACUCCUACGGGAGGCAGCAGUGGGGAAUCUUGCGCAAUGGGCGAAAGCCUGACGCAGCGACGCCGCGUGGGGGAUGAAGGCCCUCGGGUUGUAAACCCCUUUCGGCAGGGACGAAGCGAAAGUGACGGUACCUGCAGAAGAAGCUCCGGCUAACUACGUGCCAGCAGCCGCGGUAAGACGUAGGGAGCGAGCGUUGUCCGGAUUCAUUGGGCGUAAAGAGCGCGUAGGCGGCCGUGCAAGUCGGUUGUGAAAUUCCGGGGCUCAACCCCGGGACUGCAUCCGAUACCGCACGGCUCGAGGCAGGUAGGGGAGAGUGGAAUUCCCGGUGUAGCGGUGAAAUGCGCAGAUAUCGGGAGGAACACCGGUGGCGAAGGCGGCUCUCUGGACCUGUCCUGACGCUGAGGCGCGAAAGCUAGGGGAGCGAACAGGAUUAGAUACCCUGGUAGUCCUAGCCGUAAACGUUGGGUGCUAGGUGUGGGCGGAUAUCGACCCCGUCCGUGCCGAAGCUAACGCAUUAAGCACCCCGCCUGGGGAGUACGGCCGCAAGGCUAAAACUCAAUGAAUUGACGGGGG
This 908-nucleotide ribosomal RNA is filed under the name uncultured bacterium. RNAcentral's name for it is "bacterial SSU rRNA". It matches the Rfam family "Bacterial small subunit ribosomal RNA", at positions 8 to 919 of the family's 1533-position model. The record is from RNAcentral.